AUUGAACGCUGGCGGCAGGCCUAACACAUGCAAGUCGAACGGUAACAGGAAACAGCUUGCUGUUUCGCUGACGAGUGGCGGACGGGUGAGUAAUGUCUGGGAAACUGCCUGAUGGAGGGGGAUAACUACUGGAAACGGUAGCUAAUACCGCAUAACGUCGCAAGACCAAAGAGGGGGACCCUCGGGCCUCUUGCCAUCGGAUGUGCCCAGAUGGGAUUAGCUUGUUGGUGGGGUAACGGCUCACCAAGGCGACGAUCCCUAGCUGGUCUGAGAGGAUGACCAGCCACACUGGAACUGAGACACGGUCCAGACUCCUACGGGAGGCAGCAGUGGGGAAUAUUGCACAAUGGGCGCAAGCCUGAUGCAGCCAUGCCGCGUGUAUGAAGUAGGCCUUCGGGUUGUAAAGUACUUUCAGCGGGGAGGAAGGGAGUAAAGUUAAUACCUUUGCUCAUUGACGUUACCCGCAGAAGAAGCACCGGCUAACUCCGU
This 489-nucleotide ribosomal RNA is filed under the name uncultured bacterium. RNAcentral describes it as "partial 16S ribosomal RNA". It matches the Rfam family "Bacterial small subunit ribosomal RNA", at positions 30 to 506 of the family's 1533-position model. The record is from RNAcentral.